GAAGAAAGAAACCACCCCUGGCUAAGCUGCUUCUGGAUGAUAUGAAAGUGAAGUUGCUGGGAGCUUUGCAGGGAACAGUAGAGAGGUCCUCCAGCUGAAGGAGAAUGUGUCUGCAGAGGCCGACCUUAGCUCAAUGCCUGCAACUGCGACCCCCUGACCAAGAGGCAGAUUUGAGAUCAGACUACCUAAAGGAGUUUACUCUGCAGUGUGGUGUUUCAAUGCAAUUACAUCACAGACACCGGCAGGUAGGAGCAAUCUGCAAAUGGACACUCAGCUUUUACUUUAUGAGUCAUUAUUUCCACUGGGGUAAAGGGAAGGAGGACAGGUCAGCAGGACAAGAAUGAUGCCGUGAGCUGUGAUCCCACAUCGCCAUAGGGUGCUGCUGGUAUGUGGGAUCACUCCUGUGGUACAUGGUGGGGUAGGCAAAAAAGCAUAGCCAGAAGUUACUGAUUUUCAUUUAGAUGCUCACCCUAUUAAACCCUUAUGAUUCACCUUUUGGGAGUAGCUAGUACCAUUUUUUGAGUUCCAAAACAAAUCACAGUGAACAAAACAGCUCUCCCUGUGGUAGUUGGACUGGUCAUGGUGCAUAUGUGGCAACCAGAUUGAGCACAUUCGGUACAUCAGGGCCAGACAGCUGCGGGGGUUUGAGCCAGGCACAACACUCCCACACCAUUUGGCUGUCAAUUUUCUGGCUUCCUCUCUCUCACCUGCCACGAUGCCAAAAGAAUAAGGAUGCAAAU
Molecule: long non-coding RNA, 740 nt
Filed under: Phasianus colchicus (ring-necked pheasant)
Lineage: Eukaryota; Metazoa; Chordata; Aves; Galliformes; Phasianidae
Description: lncRNA (ENSPCLG00000002843.1)
Source: RNAcentral